ACACAUGCAAGUCGAGGAGAAACGACAUCGAAAGCUUGCUUUUGAUGGGCGUCGACCGGCGCACGGGUGAGUAACGCGUAUCCAACCUGCCCACCACUUGGGGAUAACCUUGCGAAAGUAAGACUAAUACCCAAUGACGUCUCUAGAAGACAUCUGAAAGAGAUUAAAGAUUUAUCGGUGAUGGAUGGGGAUGCGUCUGAUUAGCUUGUUGGCGGGGUAACGGCCCACCAAGGCGACGAUCAGUAGGGGUUCUGAGAGGAAGGUCCCCCACAUUGGAACUGAGACACGGUCCAAACUCCUACGGGAGGCAGCAGUGAGGAAUAUUGGUCAAUGGACGAGAGUCUGAACCAGCCAAGUAGCGUGCAGGAAGACGGCCCUAUGGGUUGUAAACUGCUUUUAUAAGGGAAUAAAGUGAGAGUCGUGACUCUUUUUGCAUGUACCUUAUGAAUAAGGACCGGCUAAUUCCGUGCCAGCAGCCGCGGUAAUACGGAAGGUCCGGGCGUUAUCCGGAUUUAUUGGGUUUAAAGGGAGCGUAGGCCGGAGAUUAAGCGUGUUGUGAAAUGUAGACGCUCAACGUCUGCACUGCAGCGCGAACUGGUUUCCUUGAGUACGCACAAAGUGGGCGGAAUUCGUGGUGUAGCGGUGAAAUGCUUAGAUAUCACGAAGAACUCCGAUUGCGAAGGCAGCUCACUGGAGCGCAACUGACGCUGAAGCUCGAAAGUGCGGGUAUCGAACAGGAUUA
This 742-nucleotide ribosomal RNA is filed under the name uncultured bacterium. RNAcentral's name for it is "bacterial SSU rRNA". It matches the Rfam family "Bacterial small subunit ribosomal RNA", at positions 51 to 780 of the family's 1533-position model. The record is from RNAcentral.